RNAcentral lists this long non-coding RNA (3572 nucleotides) under Bos indicus x Bos taurus (hybrid cattle). RNAcentral describes it as "lncRNA (ENSBIXG00000002795.1)". The record is from RNAcentral. Lineage: Eukaryota; Metazoa; Chordata; Mammalia; Artiodactyla; Bovidae.
GAGUUGGUGAUGGACAGGGAGGCCUGGCGUGCUGCAAUUCAUGGGGUCCCAAAGAGUCGGACACGACUGAGCAGCUGAACUGAACUGAACUGAACUGAAAAACAAAACUGAAGAAAAUCACUUAAAUCUAUCCAUAGUUUAUGGAACAGGUAGGAGUAUUAAUAUAGAAACAUGGUUGAAAGGUCAAGAGUAGGAUAUUAGAUGCCACUGGUUUCAAACCCAUCCCUGGGCUGUCUUGAGGUCUGUAAUUAUUUUAGGACCCAGGAGGAGUCUGACUUUGAGUUGGAGGAGCAGCUAACAGAAAUCUCUUGCGGUUGGGCCAAGUUCCCACUCCUCUCCUGGAAGUCGGGAUGCGAUCUCCAUCUAGGGAGAUGCUUAGGUGAGUAGGAGGAGUGGCCUAUGAUGCAGGUGAAUGUGGAGGAAAGCACAGAAGGCAGCUGGUUCCUGAGAAAUGCCUCCCAAUGAUCAGCUCUUGCCCACCUCACUUCCUCCUCCAAACCUGGGUGGAAAUAUGAAGCCACCAUUCACUGGUGGUUACUCAUUCUGAUGACAGAAGCUGAUUGCAACAAAAUGUCAUUUCGCAGCUGUUUGUUUCCACUUCUACUUGCCUGGUCCUCCCGCCCUCCCCCGCCCCGCCCCAAUUCAGACUGAGCUGUCUACAUCAUUCCUUUUGUCUUUUCAGGUGGAGACGGCAUAAUGGUACCCAUGUCAGUGACAUAGAAGACUCUGUCCUCUCAGCCCUGGGCUUUGUCCCCAGGGGAAGGGGCAAGAGUCGACAGUUAUGGCGCAACGAAGUGACCCAGAAUGGACUUCCUUCCUUCACCUGGACUCUACGAGGAACUGGAGCUUUGGUACCAGCUGUGGCCCCUUGCACCCAUCAGCCUCCUCAGCAGACUAACUUGGAUGCCUCAGGCAUGACCUGCAACCAAGACUGGAAAAAGACAUAAUUUAAGAAACUGUCUCCAACCUGGAUGGAUGGACCUUUCUGUCAGAUACUGUUAACUGACUCAUGCGCAGUGAAAUGGAAGGGAAAUUGACUCUUAAAUUAACUCCCACUUCCAAAGGCCCCUAAGCUGGACUGGUCUAUAGAGAGGCCUGCUGACCUCAAACUCACUUUAAAACGAGUCUCAAAGAGGAAGCUGCACUACACUAGGGUCAGAAGACGACAAGAUCAGAAGUAGACAGCUUGCCCAAGAUGCUGGAUCUGAUUCAUAUGAUCAUUUACACUGUUUUCUUUAUUCCUUGGACCUGUGCCUAUCAGUCAAAUGGUUUGAAUCAUGGACAUGAUUCUACACUAGUUUAAAUCUCAAUUCAAUUGUUGAGUUGUGGCCAAUAACCUGUGUCUAGUAAUUCUGGGUUACCUUGGUGGAUUUCCCUCUUUCAAGACUCUGAUUGGAUACACCUUAGGAAAUUUAUUUUAGAUGAGAGUUCAGUCCUGUUCUGUCUAUUCAUGAUAUUACUAGAUGAGAUCCUCUCAUCUGGCCAAUUAAUAAUACCUGCUCUGAUCCUGGCCAUAGAUUUAAGUUUUCUUUUAGGGUCAUUCAAACUCAAUCAGAGUGAUGAGAGCUAAGUCUUAAUCAAAAAACUAACCUCUCAUCUCUUAAAAGGAAAACUCCCACAAUUAUGGGAUGAAUCUAUAGGCUUAACAUCAGACUAUGAUCAUUUAAAUUUAAAAGCUCCUCUAUGUUGGAAACAAUUAAAUCAUACUAAAAAUGACCAACCUGGUAAUAUUAUGAGACAAAGCUGGGUGCUUUACGAACUAUGCCUAUUAUUACCCUUAGAGAGAGAAAUUGGUAUGGAACUCAGUGGAUUUGUGGCACUAAUUUAUGGCCUUGAUAUCUACAGGGAUGGAUACAAAGGUGUAGCCUGGAUUUCCAUGAAUUUAAGGUCAUACACAUUAACAAAUUAGAGGUAACCCCAACCAAUCUACCAUUGGUAUGAUCCCAAUUGGUCAAAGCUCUGUAUUCUACUGGUAUAACCAUUUAGCAGCUUUUUGUGUGUGUGUGUCUUCAUUGAGGUUGGAGGAUAUAAUUGGCCAUAUCGAAGCCUUAACAACUUUCAUAAGCUUUAAAUGGUAGUAACUGGGCUAUUAGCGUAUUGAAUUCUGAGAUCUCUAUGAUAAGAAAGGCAGUGCUACACAACUGCAAGGCCCUUGACACUUUACAGCACCACAGGAAGAUAGCUGUGCUACAAUCCAAAGUGAAUGCUAUAUUUUCAUUCCUGAUAAAUCCUUUAAUGUAAUACAUUUUAUGAACCAUAUGAAAAAUCAUAUUUCUGCCUAAGUGACCCAUUCCCUAGUCUUGACAAUCUUUUAAAAAACUGGUUUGGUGUGGGAGGCUCAUGGCUAAAAUGUUUAGUUUUAAUUCCACUAAUGUCAUUAACUAUACUAUUUGUAUUUUGCCCGUUUCACAAGAUUAUUGUUUCUUGUAUUACCAAGUGUAUGACUGAGCCUCCAGUGAAAAUAAUGAUGACUAGACUUGAUAUAUAUAUGAUCAAUGAUUGUAAUAGUGUAACUCUAGAUAUGGGAAGAUGCAACAAAAGGGAAUACUUUCCUGGACCAUGACUAGAAGACAGGUGUCCAGCGAUCUUUGACUAUUAAGACCUAGUCCAAUAAUAGCACAUUGAGCGGCCUAUCAGCAAAAACUUUCAGAACUGGGAACGAGCCUUCCCAGUAAUGUGAGAAUGGUCAUGAAAGGCCCCCCAAGGUAUGGUCUGAUUUAUGACCACAAGGGGGCCGUGUCAACUACAAAUUGACACUUACCAAGAGCAUUGCCAACGACUGAACAGCAAAGGCAUCUGCCAUCUGCCUCUAUGAGACGGAACCCCACACUGCUGUAGCUGUUGACCUUCAACACCCCCUGAGGGAGUUCAGGGUGGAGUGAGGCACUCUGUGCUCCAGGGACAGGUCUUUAGAUAGUUGGAGGUUUUUAGGAACCGAUUUUAUGAUCUCAGUCCUUGCAUCUCCUUAUAUCUAGAGAAGCACUAAAUUCCUUCAUGGUGACAUUAGAGCCUCAGGACUAACAGAAAACCCUUUUGUAAACUGAGUGCUUAAUGGUAUUGAACUCCCCAUUCACCAAAACCUUAUAUAUUGACCUUACCCCACUGCCACUUUGGAGCAGUGUUUCAAAGCUACCUAAGAUGCCGCCUCCUGGGCUACAGUCCUCAUUUUUCCCCAGAUAAAAUUUAACUCACAACUCUCAAAAAAAAAAAAAAAAAAGUAUUUUAUUUUUUAAAUAGAAAAUCCAUGGUCAUGGUCCAAAACCCAAAAGAUAAGAGAAGGAUAUUUAGUGACAAAUCUUCUGCUGCCUCAUCCUCAACCAGUGUUCUCCCCAGUACUUUUCUUCAUUGUUACUAGUUUCUUUUAUUCCAACCAGAGAUUGUGUGUGUGUGUAUGAGUGUGUGAGUGUACGAGUGUGUCUUAAUUUAGGCUACCCUAGAAACAGACCUUGACAUAAGGAUUGAAAUGCGGCUAUUUAUCUGGGAAGUGCUCCCAGGAAACUUCUGCAGGGACUGGGGCAUGAGACUGGGGAGGGAAGGCAGCCAAUAAAGGGAAGAUCAUGUUGUAAAUCCCA